CCCUAUGGGGUGCAGCAGGGCGUUGCGGAAGGCAUGCUUGAAGAUCACCACCCGCUCGCUCAAUCCCUUGGCCCGUGCCGUGCGGAUGUAGUCCUCCCGGAUGACCUCGAGCAUGUCCGCACGGGUCAGUCGGGAGAGAUAGGCAAGGCCUCCGUAGGUGAGGCAGAGAACCGGGAGCACCAAGUGCCACAGGCGGUCCAGGAUCCAUGCGGAGAAGGACCAGGUCUCAGCACCGAUGGAUGAGAUGCCGUAGACGGGGAAGACAUCCCAGAAAUCGCCGCCUCCCAGGAGCAUGAUGAGGAGCACGGCCACCCAGAAGCUGGGCAGAGAGUAAAGAAAGAAAAACAAAAGGGUAAGCAGGCGGUCCGAAAAGGACCCCGAGUGGGUAGCGGAAUAGAUACCGCACGGAAUGGCGAUGAGGUAGACGAGGAAUUGGCGGGGGGGC
RNAcentral lists this ribosomal RNA (445 nucleotides) under uncultured prokaryote. RNAcentral describes it as "partial 16S ribosomal RNA". The record is from RNAcentral.